Aphidius gifuensis is the source of this 522-nucleotide long non-coding RNA. RefSeq lists it as uncharacterized. The transcript has 7 exons. NCBI's taxonomy places the organism in Eukaryota, Metazoa, Arthropoda, Insecta, Hymenoptera, Braconidae. The record is from RefSeq and is a predicted model, not a curated record.
UUUGCUCCCGUUUUUUCAUUUUUUUUUCAUUGUAAUGUAAACCUCAAAAGAAGCUGACGCCUUUUUUCGAGCUCUUGUUUUCCGUCAUUUUCAUGUUAAACUUUGUUUCCUGCAAGUGAAGUUGCAACGAUCGUCAAAUUCAACAUUAACUACUUCGAAGAAUAUUACAAAUGGCUCGUAUGAGGAAAUAGUAAAAUCAUGAUGAUAUAAAUGCGACAAGCUGACGACAUAAAUUUCCAUCCAUUCACCAUGAGGAUAAAUUCAAGUUUCAAAAAGCCAUGCAGUGUAUAAGAAGAAUAUAAUAAUCUUCCCAAAUAAGGGUGUGAAAACUUGCGGCAAAAUAUUGAAGAUACAUCUGCUAAAAGCCAAGGUUCGUGGAUGUUUGAAAGGGUUGCUAAUGGCACAGUAACUCUGAAGGGUGAAAAUUAAUGAAGCAGAAAUUCAGGUUCCAUAUAAUAUAUGACACUUGGAAGGUGUCACUACAGGAGAACAUAUUGGUUUAUGAAAAUUGCUGAAGUGGGU